UAGUGCGAUCAUACCAGCACUAAUGCACCGAAUCCCAUCAGAACUCCGCAGUGAAGCGUGCUCGGGCUAGAAUAGUACUAGAAUGGGUGACCUCUUGGGAAGUCCUUGUGUUGCACCUU
Ribosomal RNA from Lupinus angustifolius (narrow-leaved blue lupine), 119 nucleotides. Lineage: Eukaryota; Viridiplantae; Streptophyta; Magnoliopsida; Fabales; Fabaceae. The record is from Rfam.